RNAcentral lists this ribosomal RNA (636 nucleotides) under uncultured Thermaerobacter sp. RNAcentral describes it as "bacterial SSU rRNA". It matches the Rfam family "Bacterial small subunit ribosomal RNA", at positions 68 to 705 of the family's 1533-position model. The record is from RNAcentral. Lineage: Bacteria; Bacillati; Bacillota; Clostridia; Eubacteriales; Clostridiales Family XVII. Incertae Sedis.
GACCANAAGGCUUGCUUCUUGUGUUAUCGGCAACGGUUGAGUAACACGUAGACAACCUGCCCGGAAGUGGGGGAUAACAGCCCGAAAGGGCUGCUAAUACCGCAGCGUGGCCGAAGAGGGCAUCCUCUUUGUGCUGAAGGGAGGCGCAAGCCUUUCGCUUCCGGAUGGGUCUGCGGCCUAUCAGCUAGCUGGUGGGGUAACGGCCUACCAGGGCAUCGACGGGUAGCUGGUCUGAGAGGAUGACCAGCCAGACGGGGACUGAGACACGGCCCCGACUCCUUCGGGAGGCAGCAAUGAGGGAUAUUGCGCAAUGGGGGAAACCCUGACGCAGCGACGCCGCGUGGGCGAGGAAGUCCUUCGGGAUGUAAAGCCCUUUUGCAGGGGAAGAACGGUAGGGGUAACCCUACUCUGACGGUACCCUGCGAAUAAGCCCCGGCUAACUACGUGCCAGCAGCCGCGGUAAUACGUANGGGGCAAGCGUUGUCCGGAUUUACUGGGGCGUAAAGAGCGCGUANGUGGGCGCGCAAGUCUGGUGGGAAAGCCCCGGCUCACUGGGNAAAUCGCUGGAACUGCGUGUCUNGAGGGUGAUAGAGAAAUGAAUUCCCGUGUANCGGUGAAUGCGUAAAUUCNGGAGAA